This is a long non-coding RNA of Vigna angularis (adzuki bean), 375 nucleotides long. RefSeq lists it as uncharacterized. The record is from RefSeq and is a predicted model, not a curated record. The transcript has 3 exons. Lineage: Eukaryota; Viridiplantae; Streptophyta; Magnoliopsida; Fabales; Fabaceae.
CUCUCCUUUUUUCUCUAAAUUCAGUUUUCCUUUUUCCUUUUCUGCCUUCUCUCUACCCUUACACUCAUUUGAACCGUUGAAAUUUCAAAUAGGUGGUGUUCUUUCGCUCAAGGAGUUGAGAGCUUCCCUUCUAUCCGAUUAGAUUUCCAUUUGAACGGGUGGUUGUAGGCCACUGUUUGGGUUUUCUAUGUGAAGGCACUGUUAGGGCACUCUAGUUGGCUAUACUGCUCGACUUCAAGGAACGGCAGUCGUGGCAGCAGAAGCAGGAAGAAAAAUUAUAGAAGGCAAUCUUAAGUGCGUGGGUCCUUGCACUGGAGAUUGCAAGAAAGUUUGCGCAGGACAAGGGUUUAAGAAUGGUUUCUGUAAUGAGCAAAA